Molecule: ribosomal RNA, 532 nt
Filed under: uncultured bacterium
Lineage: Bacteria
Description: bacterial SSU rRNA
Rfam family: Bacterial small subunit ribosomal RNA
Source: RNAcentral
UAGUCCACGCCGUAAACGAUGACAACUAACUAUUGGGGGUAUUGACCCCUCCAGUGGUACAGCAAACGCGUUGAGUUGUCCGCCUGGGGAGUACGGUCGCAAGACUAAAACUCAAAGGAAUUGACGGGGGCCCGCACAAGCGGUGGAUUAUGUGGUUUAAUUCGAAGCAACGCGCAAAACCUUACCCGGACUUGAAAUCCAGAGAACUCGGCCCAAAAGCUGAGGUGCCCUUCGGGGAAUUCUGAGACAGGCGCUGCAUGGCUGUCGUCAGCUCGUGUUGUGAAAUGUUGGGUUAAGUCUCGCAACGAGCGCAACCCCUGUCCUUAGUUGCCAGCAUUAAGUUGGGCACUCUAGGGAGACUGCCUGGGCAACCAGGAGGAAGGUGGGGAUGGACGUCAAGUCCUCAUGGGCCCUUAUGUCCGGGGGCUACACACGUAAUACAAUGGUUAGUACAAAGGGGCGGCGAAGCAGUGAUGUGGAGCGAAUCCCAAAAAGCUAAAUCUCAGUCCGGGAUUGUAGUCUGCAACUCGAC